Molecule: ribosomal RNA, 780 nt
Filed under: Escherichia coli
Lineage: Bacteria; Pseudomonadati; Pseudomonadota; Gammaproteobacteria; Enterobacterales; Enterobacteriaceae
Description: partial 16S ribosomal RNA
Rfam family: Bacterial small subunit ribosomal RNA
Source: RNAcentral
GGCGUUGAACCUUUUUCGUGUCUUGUGGUUACUGUGUAUGUAAAGGUAGAUACUGCUUUUUUGCUGCGGGGGGCGGAGGUCUUUAAGUGUCUGGAAAUUGCCUGAGGAGGGGGAUAUUAUUGGAAACGGUAGCAAUACCGCAAGGCCAGUGCGUAAGGAGGGGGACUUCCGGGCUUUUUGCCAUGGGAUGUCCCCGGAGGGAAUUACCUAGUAGGUGGGUUAAGGCUCACAAACGCGGGAUCCCUAGUUGGUCUGGGAGGCUCACCUCCCCCACGGGAACUGAGACGCGGUCCAGAUUCCUACAGGAGGCGGCGGAGGGGAAUAUUGCACAAUGGGCGCAGGCCUGUUGCACCCUUGCGGCGGGUAUAAAAACGGCCUUCGGUUUGUAUAUUAUUUUCAGCGGGGAGAAGGGAGUAAAGUUAAUACUUUUGCUAUUGACGUAACCCGAAGAAGAAGCUUCGUCAAACUUGGUGAAAGCUGCCGCGGUUUUAGGGAGGCCGCAGGCGUUAAUCGGAAUUACGGGGGGUAUAGCGCCUGCAGGGUUAUGUUAGUCAGAUUAAAAAUCCCGGGGCUCACCCUGGGAACUGCUUCUGAUACUGGCAGGCCUGGAGUCUCGCAGAAGGGUGGGUAAAAAUUUCCAGGUGUAACCGUUAAACUGCGUACAGAUUUGGAAGAACUACCCGGGUGGACAAAGGCUGCCCCCCUGGACCAAAGCACGGACGCUUCAGGUGCGAAAUGCUUGGGCGAGCAAUCAGGAAUUAAAUUCCCCUGUUUGCUCAA